AAGAGCAGCUAUAAGAGAUGCUAGACAACAGCUUCAUUCAUGGGGUUGCAUGGAUGAGUCUUACUCAACAUUCAACUUGGAGGUCCCUGCCACCAUGCCUAAGGUGAAGGAACUUUGUGGGCUGGACAACGUGGAAAGGUACCUGGGGUGGAAAAUGGGUAGAAAGUGAACUUCUUCAAGAUUGGGCUGCGUAAUUUGUGGGAAAUGCUGCUGUUUUUAGCCACAAAAAAAAUCAUAUGGCCAGAGAGGUCGGUCAUCUAACAACAUAAAGAAACAUAAAACAUUACAAUACUGCUAGUACUUGCACACAGCACAUUAUAUUGUUGCAGUUGGAGAUGUUCUAACUCGGCCCUUUUUAUUGAUGACAGUGAGGUGUAUUCUGGAGUGUUUGAGUAAGGUAAUAGUUAUUUUUUAAAAUAUAUUUUUAUUUAAAAAUACAUUAAAAUAUUUAAAUUGUAACCCGACUCGAGUGGAUGAUUUUUUAGGUCAAUUAAUUUGCUGAGCCAAGCUAAUUUUAAAGUUGGGAAGGAAAUGAUAUAAAAAAAAAAUUGCAUGGCUUUAGAUUUCAUGGACAAUAAUGCUAGCAAGAAUCAAAUGAACGAUAGCUAAGAAAUACUCACUCGCAUAAAAUGCGACCUUGUCACAAGCUUCAAAAUUAUCGUGGGCGACUUUUUGACACAAUGAAACUUAACCUCCGUGAUAAAAUCAAGAAUCUACUCAUAGAUUUCUACCCAAGCAAAAAAAUAAAAUGAAAAAUUGCUCUAAUUCAACUCAGAGUUCUCUCAUAGCUCUCCUCCAUCUCUUAUUUCCAACAAUGCUAGAAAAUAAAAGUUAAUAACUCAAAACUUAUUCAACCUGAUGCAGGACAUGGCGCAUUCUUAGGAAUCCUUGACAUGUUAUGAAGUAGAACUUGGCACGACUGGUUCAGGACUUGGAGCAGAUAAUAGUGAAGCACAGCGUUUCCUGAUCCACAAUGGAGGCAAGAAAGGAUCAAAACUAAAUCCUUUAGGCUUGCACUUGUCAUCAAUUACAGCCAAGACACUGCAACAUUUAGGGCCGACUAAGUUCUUUUGAAAGGUCAGCACCAAGGAUGCAACCUCAUGCAAGCAAAUAUCUGCGUGCGCCUUGAUGGUGGCCAAGCAAUCUUGAAUUUCUACAGGGCUCCGACCGAAAAAUGGUGUUGCAGGAGCUGCCGCUAAACCUGAGGCAACCACCAUGAACCCCAAAGCUAGCGUGAAUACAAUCGAGCAUGUCAUGGUAGCUUGAACCAUCUUGGGUGAAGAUAGACGUGGACCAGCUAAGUGUGAUGGAAGGGUAGAGGAUGCCAUUUUUAUAGGACCAUGCAAGGCAUAACGUCCUUGUAAAUGUUGAUUUAAUUAGCUCCUUUGUAUAACCGACUAGGCAUGGAGUUAAUCGAGUCUGACUAUGUUGGCUGUUUAUUUCUGCAUUUUAAACUGUAUUUAGAUAUGUUCUAAAAAUAUAUUUGGCAUGAAAAAAAUAUUAAAUUAAUAUUAUUUUAGUAUUUUUUAAAUGAUUUUAACAAUAUUAAAUUAAUAUUAAAUAUAUUUAGAUAUGUUUUAAAAAUUAUUUUAAUAUAUUUUUAAAUAAAAAAUAGUAACAAGCAAAGAAAACUACUGUUUACUGUAUGAAGAGGUUUGAUUUAUUGGUGGGUCAGUUUUCUAAAAUCCAGGAAGGAUUGGGUAUUGGGCUAGCGUAUAGAUGGAUUCCGGACAUUUAACCUUGUUUGUGGUGAAAAAAGGAAGAAAUAUCAAAUGUUUCCUUAGCACUGUUUAUCUUUCUUUUUUUAAGUGUUUUUUUUUAAUAAAAUAAAUGAUCUUUUAUAUGAAAAGCGUAAUCGUACGUGUUGAUAUAUUCAAAAAUAAAUUAUAAAUUUUAUAGGUCAAAAACAUGAUUUUAUCUUCAAUAUGACAUCAUUUUUUGAAUGAGUUUGUACAUUAAGAUAAUCUUUUUUAUAUAAUUUUUAAAUGAUAUAUUUUUAAAAAAUAAUAAAUUUUCAUGAAUUAAACAUAUGUUUUUUUUAAUUAUUAAAUCAUGGAUAGAAAAAUAUAUAACAAAAACAUAACAAAAAAAAAGAGCAACAACGAUAAAAAAUAAAUAAAUAGAAACUGAUUAAGAAGAGUUAUAUUGUUUUAGUUUAACAGUAAAUAUUAUCAAUAAUUACUAGUUAAUUACUCCAUAACAGAGAUAGAUAAGGAGGAAACAAAAAGAAAAAUCAGGGAGAAAGUUUUUAAAAAAACUUAUCUGAGAAGAAAUAUUAAAAUUUAAUACAUAAUUCUUUAUUUGCUCUAAGUAGAUUCAUAGAAUAAAUAUUUAGAAUUAUAUUAAUUUAAAACUUCUUCUACAUAAUACUUAAGAGGUUUACAUUAGGAAUAUAAAAAAAAAACUUACCGCAUUAAUUCACCCCAGCUUGCAUUGCAAGUUUGGUAUGUUAGAUCUAUCUAAUAAUCUUUCCAGUACAUAUAUCUUGGAUUAAUUUGAUCUGGUUGGAUUUAAAUUAUAGUUAAUUAAGCUUAAUUUGACACAUUGACUCAUUGACUAGGGUAAAUUAAAAAAAAUUCAAAUCAAAUUUUAAUUAAUUGAAAUGAAUUAAACAGAUCUGAAUAAUUCUGUGAUAUAAACGUGGUCCUAAGAUCGGAAUAUGGGACCGAACUGAGUUUAAUAAAAUAUUGUAUAAAAAUCUACUGAAAAGUAGAGGAGAUCUUGGCAGAGAUAUCAUAUUUGUAAAGUUGAUUAUUGGGCGUUAGGUACAAAUGAAUGUCACUUUCUAUCCCUUUCCCCUACUUAACUCCAACGUAAUCAAUUUUGUCCCUCGCUACUUAACUGUCUCCUUGUCUUAGUUAAACAAUGUGUUUUUUCUAUAAAACCACCGAUAUAAAAAAUAUUAAUUUAAAACAAAUAAAAAAUAAAAAAAAUUAAAUUUUGAAAAAAACACUAAAAAACAAACUGUACCUGCAUCUUACUUUCCCUGUUGCGUGCAUAUUUAUUGCAGACUGACCCAUAUGAGGUGGAGAAUGAUGUUUGAGCAUGCGAGCGACGUUAAAAUAUACAAUGAGGUCAAAUGAAAUGAAAAGGAAAGUGAGAUGCCCCUCCAUUUUAUAAAGCAACUAGGCUCUUUGAAUGUGACUUGUUGGUUUUAGCGUCUCUCAUCAGCCAUCACAAAUAAUUCUGAUCCAUUUUUGUGUCUGUCACGCACAUAUAUUUUACACGGCAAUGGAAGAGGAGCAGAGGGAAACAGGCAAAGCUGGGAGUCUAGUCUUUGCCGUCAACGGACAGAGGUUCGAGGUGUCGUCGAGAGUAGACCCUUCAACAACCUUGCUUGAGUUCUUGCGUACCAGGACAUCUUUCAAGAGCGUCAAGCUCGGUUGUGGCGAAGGUAUUGUUUGCUCUUUCUUUUUCCAGAACUGCACUUGAUUGUACGUUUGCAUACCGUGUCUGAUGUGUGAUAGGCAUAGGGUCAUCUAUGAACUGUUUUUGUCUGUUAAAUUAUAGAUGGAUAACAUCACCUCGCAUUUCACCAAAGUUAUUAUACUCGUGACUCAGUGUAAGACUCGAGUUAUUGGUUAAAUAGGAUGACCCAAGCCAAUUAAAACAGUACAAUGAUAUCAUUUUGAAUUCUCUUCAAAAAAGUAAAGUUUUAUUUUGAUCAUGGGUUAACUUAUUAUAAUUGAAUAUAUCAGGUAAUUCCCACCUAGUUUUUUUUUUAAAACACAGCUUGAGCCAAGUUUCGAGUUGACCCGUCGAGCCGGAUUUAAUAACACUACAUUUCACAUGUAUUGUUUACAAUAUUUUUCAUUUGCAUCUUAAUUUAUUUUAUUCAAGUUGUGGGUUUACAUAUUAUAACUGAUUAUAUUGGUCAACUUCCACCUAGUUUCUUUUUAAAACCCAGCUCGAGCUAGGUUUUAAGUUGACCCGUCAAGCCUGAUUUAAUAACACUACAUUUCAUAUGCAUUAUUUUUUAAUAUUUUUCAUUUGCAUCUUAAUUUAUUUAUUUUUACAAAAUUCAAUCGGUGAAAAUUUAUAGUCUGUCAAAUAUAAAUUAGAACAGCCAAAUAGCAAAUAUACACAUCAAACCAACACCAUGGUUUCAAUCUGGUAGUGAGACUCUAAAAGCUUAAAUGUCAUGACCCGAAUCUCUAGUGCAUGACUAGCAAUGCAGGAGUGGCACCUAAGAAAACACUUUAUCUAUGGUAAACCUCAAAUAUACUUUUCACAAAACAAAUUAUAUAAAAUCAUCUAGUAUUUCAUAAACUUUUAAAAUAUUUCUCAAAACCAAUAAAAAUAAUUAAUAAUUCAAAAUACUCAUUACAUUAAAUAAAAUUUAAUCUUUAAAAUAAAAAUCUAAACUUGAAAAAAAAUCAGCAUAAUGGAGCUUUCCAAGACUAUUAUAUUACUCUUUCCGGUUCAAUAUUAUUAGUUGGGAGGCAUUUAAACUAUUAUAUUGAUUUCAAAAAAAAAAAAAUUGAGCCUUUAGGUGGUUUCUCAUGAUUUGUUCUAAUUUAUGGUUUUAGGUGGUUGUGGUGCUUGCAUUGUUCUACUCUCCAAGUAUGAUCCUGUGCUUGACCAAGUUGAGGAUUUCACAAUCAGUUCAUGUCUCACACUGCUUUGCAGUGUGAAUGGAUGUUCGGUUACAACAUCGGAAGGCCUUGGAAAUAGCAAAGAUGGAUUCCAUCCGAUUCACCAGAGGUUCAGUGGUUUCCAUGCUUCUCAAUGUGGCUUUUGUACUCCUGGAAUGUGUGUUUCACUCUUCGGAGCCCUUGUUAAAGCUGAAAAGAAUGACCAAAGGGAGCCUUCUCCAGGAUUCUCCAAGCUGACAGUCGUUGAAGCUGAAAAGGCUAUCUCAGGAAAUCUUUGUCGCUGUACUGGAUAUCGACCCAUUGCUGAUGCGUGUAAGAGUUUUGCAGCUGAUGUUGAUAUUGAAGAUUUGGGAUUAAACUCUUUUUGGAAGAAGGAAGAGAGUCCCGAAGCGAAGAUGAGUAGGCUACCUUUAUAUGACCAUAAUCAUGAGAUAUGCACUUUCCCUGAAUUUUUGAAAAGGGAAAUAAAAUCUUCCUUGCUUUUGGAUUCUGAAAGAUAUUCUUGGUGCACACCUGCUACUGUUGAGGAGCUUCAGAGCUUAUUAAAAAGCAUUGAUGCCGACUGCAAAACCAGGAUGAAACUAGUGGUUGGUAACACAGGUAUGGGUUAUUACAAGGACCUAGAGCACCAUGACAGGUACAUAGAUCUCAGAUGUGUUCUGGAGCUCUCGAGUAUUAGGAGGGAUGAAGAAGGAAUCGAAAUCGGGGCAGCUGUCACUAUUUCUAAAACUAUUGAAGCUCUGAAGGAAGAAAAUAACAGUGAGUUUAAUUCAGAAUGCAAGAUUGUGUUUAAAAGAAUUGCAUUGCACAUGGAGAAGAUUGCUUCUGAAUUUGUUCGAAAUACAGGCAGUGUAGGGGGGAAUUUGGUGAUGGCACAAAGGAAACAUUUUCCAUCAGAUAUUGCCACGAUACUGCUGGCAGCAGGUGCAUUUGUUCACAUUCUAACUGGUACCUUGCAUGAAAAGCUUACUUUAGAUGAGUUUCUGGAAAGGCCUCCAUUGGAUUCCAAAAGUGUGCUAUUAAAUAUUAAGAUUCCAAAUUAUGCAGCAUCCAAGAACAUAUCUUCUGAAAUGGACAGCAAGUUGUUAUUCGAAACUUAUCGUGCUGCACCGCGACCCCUUGGAAAUGCAUUGCCCUAUUUAAAUGCAGCUUUCUUGUCUGAAGUUUCCUGUUUGAAAUCUUCUGGUUCAGCCGUGUUAAAUAAAUGCCGGGUCGUUUUUGGUGCUUAUGGAACCAAACAUGCUAUCAGAGCAAAGGAAGUUGAGAAAUUUUUGUCUGGAAAAAUACUAACCAUUGGUGUUCUAUAUGAAGCUGUUAAACUGGUUAAAGCCAAUGUGGUUCCUGAAGAUGGCACGCCGAGUCCGGCCUUCAGGUCAAGCUUAGCUGCUGGUUAUCUCUUUGACUUUCUCUACCCCUUGGUAGACAUUAACUCUAAAAUUUCUGGUGUUUGGUCGGAUGAAUAUUGUAAUACUUCAUUGUUCAAGGAUGCAAAAAUAAAACAGAAGUACAGCCAGCUUGAUCAUGUUCAAUUACCCACUUUGCUGUCAUCAUCAGAGCAGGUGCUUGAAUUAAACAAUGAUCAUCAUCCUGUUGGUCAGCCUACUAAGAAAGUUGGAGCCGCCCUUCAAGCUUCUGGUUUGUAGUCUUCCAUCAUCGAGUUGCAUAAAUAAUGAUCAGCGUAAUCUAAGGGCUGCUUCCCUCAUAGAAUUAAGUGCUGGUCUCAUUUAUCUCACUUUUAGGCAUCUUCACUUUACUCAUGUAACAAAUUAUGCAGGAGAGGCUGUUUUUGUGGAUGACAUUCCCUCUCCUACAAAUUGUCUACAUGGAGCAUUCAUUCAUAGCAUGAAGCCUUAUGCAAGGGUCAAGAAUAUCAAAUUCAAGUCUAAAUUACUACCAGAUGGAGUUUCUGGGCUGAUUUCGGUCAGAGACAUUCCAAAAGGUGGGGAGAACAGAGGUUGCACGACUAGGUUUGGCACUGAAUCUUUGUUCGCAGAUGAGCUUACGCAGUAUGCUGGAGAGCGUCUUGCUUUUGUGGUAAUCACCUCAUCCAGUAUUUUUAUAUAAUAACAUCCACCUCAGUUCUGUUGAUUUUAGAUGUCAUUAUUUAAAUGCACUACGGAAAUAUAUAAUUGGAUUGUGGGAAUUUGUGCCUAAUCUAGUCUACCAAUCGACCCUCUCAGGUUGCAGAUACACAGAAACAUGCUGAUAUAGCAUCCAACCUUGUUGAAGUUGAUUAUGACAUUGAAAAUCUAGAACCACCCAUUUUAACUGUAGAAGAGGCCAUUAAGAGAUCUAGCCUUCUCGAGGUUCCUCUUCUCCUCUACCCCAAACAAGUUGGUGAUAUAUCAAAAGGAUUGGCUGAGGCUGAUCACAAGAUUCUCUCUGCCAAGGUACUUUCGCUCCCUCUUCCCUCCAACUCGCUCCACUCAUUUGAAUAGAAAAUAAAAACGAAGAAAAUGUUCUUCUUUUAUGAGGGCAUAGAUAGUUACAAGCCUAAAAAGUACAUAGACUAGGUGCUUUUCUAGCAUCAGAUUUCAACAUUGUGCAUCUGUGCUUACUGCUAACUUUCUGCUGCUUCGUUGCUUUAGAUAAAACUCGGUUCACAGUACCAUUUCUAUAUGGAGACUCAAACUGCCCUUGCGCUUCCUGAUGAAAACAACUGCAUGGUGGUUUACAGUUCAACCCAGUGUCCCGAAUAUGCACAUGUUAACAUUGCAAAAUGUCUUGGUAUUCCUGAGCAUAAUGUGCGUGUGAUUACAAGGAGAGUCGGAGGAGGCUUUGGUGGAAAGGCCAUGAAAGCAAUUCCUGUGAGUUUCAUUCUAAACAAAUCUCCAUGUCUUAAACUUCCGUCAACAAACUAAGUCUUGGUUUCGAUUCCAAACUUAUUGAUGUUUUGUUACUACGUUCCUGUUCUCUUGUGUAGUGCUGAACUUUCUAUAAAAGUUGUGAUAUAAUCCUUUUUUCACCGCUUCAGUCCACACGAUUUUCAGUUUAUUUCUCCUUGAUGAUAGAUUUACCAUUCCAUUUCUCUGUUAUCAAUUGGUGCGAGUACUUACAAUGGGAUGUAAUGUUAACGUUUAGGUUGCUACAGCAUGUGCUCUUGCAGCGCACAAGUUUCGUCGCCCUGUGAGAACGUAUUUGAAUCGCAAGACCGAUAUGAUAAUGGCAGGAGGAAGGCAUCCCAUGGAAAUAACUUAUAAUGUAGGAUUUAAAUCAAAUGGGAAAGUUACAGCCUUACAGCUUGAUAUAUUAAUCAAUGCUGGAAUAUCUUUAGAUAUAAGUCCACUGAUGCCAAAAAACAUUCUGAGUGGGCUAAAAAAGUAUGACUGGGGUGCUUUAUCUUUUGAUAUAAAGGUAUGCAAAACAAAUCAUUCAAGUAAAACUGCAAUGCGAGGCCCUGGGGAGGUACAAGGAUCAUACAUUGCAGAAACCGUAAUCGAACAUGUAGCGUCUACCCUUUCCAUGGAUGUAGAUUCUGUGAGAAACAUAAAUUUUCACAGAUAUGAUAGCCUUAAAUUAUUCUAUGAUGUUGCCUCAGGUGAUUCUGUAGAGUAUACUCUAACAUCAAUAUGGAAUAAGUUAGCAGAAUCUUCAAGCUUCAAACAAAGGGUUGAAAUAAUAAAGGAGUUCAAUAGGUGUAAGGUGUGGAAGAAAAGAGGUAUUUCUCGAGUGCCUAUUGUGCAUCAAGUGUUCGUGCGACCAACUCCGGGGAAAGUAAGCAUUCUAAGUGAUGGGUCGGUUGUCGUUGAAGUCGGCGGAAUAGAGUUGGGUCAAGGGCUCUGGACAAAGGUAAAACAAAUGGCUGCAUUUGCUCUCAGCUCAAUCAAAUGUGACGGGGUAGAAAAUCUUCUGGACAAAGUAAGGGUAAUACAAGCUGAUACUCUGAGUUUAACUCAAGGAGGAAUGACUGCAGGGAGCACCACAUCAGAGUCAAGCUGUGAAUCAGUUAGACUUUGCUGUGCAGUCUUGGUUGAGAGACUGGGACCUCUAAAGGAAACGUUGCAGGGGCAAAUGGGUUCCGUAACAUGGGAUGCGCUCAUUUGCAAGGUACUUGUUUACAUUUCUUGAACAUUCUAUUUGAGAUAUUUCUUAGUUGGAACCUCAAGACCGAAACUUGUCAAUGAUUCCUUCAAUAAUGUGGUCCUUGCAGGUAGGUUUUAUUUUUCUUUCUUUACAUUCAAGUAUUUGUUAUGAGAAGAAAUCUUCAUGCAUUUUUCUGAAUUGAUUGUCAGGCUGCUAUACUGACAGGAUAUGAACUUUGAUAUUCUUUUGAUAUUGACAUUUAGAUGCUCAAGUUCUUUGCUACCUUACUCUUAGUCAUUCAAAAUGCAGGCAUAUGUGGGAUCACUGAAUUUAUCAGCAUCUUCACAUUACAUCCCUGACUUUACUUCGAUGCACUACUUAAACUAUGGCGCUGCAGUAAGUGAGGUAAGGUUUUCCAGAACACCUCUAUCUAAUUUCCUUCAGUGCAUGAUCUGAAACUAGAGUAAAACUUCUGAAUACAAACUGGAAGAUGGGAAUCCUGCUUCAUAGAAGAUUACAUGCCUAAUUUUCUGCAGGAAUACUAAUGUGAAGCUAUGGUGACACAGGUAGAGGUAAACCUUCUGACAGGGGAAACAACUAUUUUGAGAUCAGAUAUUAUAUACGAUUGUGGACAAAGUCUCAACCCUGCGGUGGAUUUAGGACAGGUUCGCUAGCUGUGACAACUCAGAAUCAAAUUCUUAAGUUCAUAGAUGUUUGUAAAUUUUAAGAGGUUAGGAUUGGUGCAUGUAGAUUGAAGGAGCCUUUGUCCAAGGGAUUGGUUUUUUUAUGCUUGAAGAGUACACGACGAAUUCUGAUGGACUAGUGGUUGCAGACAGCACAUGGACAUAUAAGAUCCCUACAAUAGACACCAUACCAAAACAAUUCAAUGUGGAAAUACACAACAGUGGACAUCACCAGAAACGUGUUCUCUCUUCAAAAGGUAAGCUUUUCAGAGUUUUUUUUCUUUUACAGAAGAGCAUAAUGGAUGUCUCUAUGGAUGCAAGGCAAUAUCUUUUACCUUGCCAUGGAUGAAUGCAAGUAGCUAGUCUUCUUAAACUUCCAUUUAUAGGUGUUUGAUGAUGAAAUUAUCAUGCUUUGUGCAGCUUCCGGGGAGCCACCGCUACUCCUUGCAGCAUCAGUUCACUGUGCUACAAGGGCAGCUAUAAGAGAUGCUAGACAACAGCUUCAUUCAUGGGGUUGCAUGGACGAGUCUUACUCAACAUUCAACUUGGAGGUCCCUGCCACCAUGCCUAAGGUGAAGGAACUUUGUGGGCUGGACAAUGUGGAAAGGUACUUAGGGUGGAAAAUGGGUAGAAAGUGAACUUCUUCAAGAUUGGGCUGCGUAAUUUGUGGGAAAUGCUGUUGUUUUUAAGCCACGCAAAAAAAAUCAAAUGGCCAGAGAGGUCGGUCAUCUAACAACAUAAAGAAACAUAAAACAUUACAU
RNAcentral lists this long non-coding RNA (10062 nucleotides) under Populus trichocarpa (black cottonwood). Its description in RNAcentral is "long non-coding RNA (PTRI_LNC002381)". The record is from RNAcentral. Lineage: Eukaryota; Viridiplantae; Streptophyta; Magnoliopsida; Malpighiales; Salicaceae.